Molecule: long non-coding RNA, 808 nt
Filed under: Homo sapiens (human)
Lineage: Eukaryota; Metazoa; Chordata; Mammalia; Primates; Hominidae
Description: novel transcript
Source: RNAcentral
GCUUGGAGAAGAGGAGGAGGCUGAAAAGAAGGCAAAGAGUGAAGAUAGAGAAACAAGAUGGAAGUGGGGGAGAAAAACAGGGAUGAGAGAAUGCCAUGGUGGUGCUGAGAAGGAAAGGAGAGACUUUUCUGCUUGUAAAGGGCAGAAGAUGGCAGAAUCCAGUGACGCAGGGGCAUCUGGCUCCAGAAAUAAUAGGUCACUUGGCACCCACUUCUUCAAAACAACUCGUAGAGGUACCACCUUGGUUGUCUUGGAUAAAAUCUGGAAUAAUUAUCUGGGUUACCAGGAGAGACCCUUGUUCUUUUCGCUUACUUUCUCCAAAACAUAUGAAGCCUCUCUCUCUGUGCUGAACCACCUGGAACUGGAGGUGUGAUGAGUUAUAGAGAUGAAAAUGCAUAUGGAAUUAUCAUGCAAAUUACCAAUAAAGAGAAUCACUGGUCAGAAUCCCUAUAUUUUGGAGAAGAAAAAUUUUGAAAACCAGUCAGAAUUCAAUCAACUGCAGUUGGGAGAAAGACAGCGAGUAGCUUGAGAGAGAUGAGAAACUAUCAAAAAGAAGUUCCUGACAUGGCAACAGUGUAUCAUCCAAUGAAUCAAUCGCCUCACCCAACACUGUAACACUUCCUGGCCUAUUGACUCAGAGCAUGAGGAAACCAAAGUGACCAGGGAUUAAAAGCUAUCUCUGGAGAAGAUGAUGUCAGCAAGAUGGCAGAAUAGAAAAAUCCAGGUCCUGGUUCCACCACAGAAACAUGAAGUAAACAACAAAGGAAUGGCUUAAUAGCCUUGUGAGAGCUCUAGAAACCAGUCAAGA